AGCCACCGCGGCGACUUGGCGGCGGGUGCCAUGCGUCUGGAGCUUCACAUUCUCUGCCCCCCACCCACCGCGCCGGCGCUCCCUUGUCACGCCUCGGGAAGCGCGCACCUGCCAAGCAGGAUGAAUAAUCUGAUAUCAUGUGAAAUGAGGAAAUAAGAAGCUUUCUGCUGACUUCAUUUUGACCCAGGGUCCAAAAGGUGAUGUAAUCCUGUGGCAAGAAGAUUCAAAACUGUGGACUAUCUUGCAAAAAAUACAAGAAGAUAUUGAAAGUUUUCAUGAGUGCCUACCACCUAAUCUCAAACACUAUCAUUCAUAUGUGCCUCAUUGAGCAAAUCUUUAAUGAGGAUCUAUAUGCCAGAUAAUGUAGGCAUUGUUCCUAAGUCAUGCAGAGGGGUUGUGUAAGCAUGGUCAUUUGCAUCAUUAUCCUGCACGUCUGAUACAGCCAAACUCCACGCCACCUGGUUUGCUCAAUAUCUUUUGCUUGGGAGCAGAAACAGAAAGUACAUGAUGGACUUCAUUGAAGGAUGGAGAUUUGGAAGACAUGAAUGGAUGAAGAACCAAGUGCGUGAGGGCACCUAUCAGGAUUAUUGCUGAAAUCCUUAUGGAGUUAACUGGCUGAGAGGAAGACGGAGUCUCGCUCUGUUGCCCAGGCUGUAGUUCAGUGGUGCAAUCUCAGCUCACUGCAAGCUCUGCCUCCCGGGUUCAUGCCAUUCUUCUGCCUCAGCCUCCCGAGUAGCUGGGACUACAAGCGCCUGCUACCACGCCUGGCUAAUUUUUUGUAUUUUUUAGUAGAGACGGAGUUUCACCAUGUUAGCCAGGAUGGUCUCGAUCUCCUGACCUUGUGAUCCACCCAUCUCGGCCUCCCAAAGUGCUAGGAUUACAGGCAUGAGCCACCACGCCCAGCCAACUUAUAACUUUUAUAUCAUUAGACACAUGGAAUAUGGGCCUCCGUUUGUACUCUUGCCCUUGGCCCCACAAACGUUAGGGAGAGGCCUGGCUCCUGCAAUGUACUAUUUACCUGUUGUAAAGAAUAGCCCUUCAAAAGUAUUAUUCUAAGUCUGUUUGACAUAAUAGGUCCAAAUUGUAUUACAACAUGGUAAAAAAACAACAAUCCAUUAACAAUCCUCUUUGGAUUUCUAAAAAAGUUUUGGUAGCCUAAACUCUUUCCCCAAUUUUUGAUAUCACUUCAUGUCAUUUUAGAGAGUAAGUUUUCCUGUUUUAUUAAUGUUUAUAUUUAAGCUGAAUUUUCUAAAAGAAUUGUGAGUGUUUUUAUUCUAUUGUGACAUUCAAGGUACGCAGCUGACCCUUGAGUAUAAGUCCCAUCAACUAAGUAAACAUCAAACAUAUCUUCAGUACAUCCCUUUAGAUCUUGACAGUUAUUUAUCACUUUUUCAUAAGUUCCAAAGUUCCAGAUGGUUACUGAUACAUUCAGGCUGACCACUGCUAGAUUUGAGACUUGUCCCACAGAUCUGCACUGUAUCUUCAUACCUUCAUUAAUAGAUCUUUUAUUCUUUUUUUUUUUAAUUUUUUUGGAGACGUGGGUCUCAUUAUGUUGCCCAGGCUGGUCUUGAACUUCUGGCCUCAAGUGAUCCUCCCAACUCAGCCUCCCAAAGUAUUGGAAUUAUAGGUGUGAGCCACUACACCCAGCCUAGAUCUCAAUCAGGUGACACUGAAAAUGUUUGGUCAUAAACCACAGUGAAGGAAGGGGAGGCAGCUGUUAGAUCAUCUGCCUUGACCCACAGUCCUCAUCCAUUUGCACCUUGGCAAGCCCUCUACUACAUCUGAAUCUCGAAAUGGGGGAUAACCUCUUGGGAGAGUCUAUGCUAGUACCCUUCUAGUAGUAGUUUACAAUCUGCCAACAAAUCUUGAAGCCUUAUUUGGUUGAUAUCAAUUUGAGAGGUGGGAGGUUCAGUUUCCAAAGAGUCAGGAAAGAGCAUUCAUCUAGGCUUGAGAAGCCUCCAUUUCCUAACUCAAGAGUUCUGAUUAGGUUGUUGGUUGAGUGACACAAGGCAAUCAUCUCACUUUUCUGUUCCUGAGCUUCUCCUUUUAUAGAAUGUGGGCAGGAGUGUGGAGAGGGAGAAUUUAUUUCAUUUCCUGUUUUCCAAACUUACUAAACUGUGGAAACUUUUUCUUUUGCAGCAUUGGGCAAAACUGAUGUUCUAAGGAACAUUCUUUAGGAAAGGUUAGCCAGAUCCGUGGUUCUCAACAGGCAUGUGGUACACAUUUAAUAAUGUCUGGAGACGUUUUUGGUUGUCACAACUGGGGAUCCAGGGAUGCUGCUAAACAUCCUGCAAUGCCUAGGACAGCCCUCCACAACGGAGAAUUAUCCAACUCAAAAUGCCAAUCAUUCUAAGGGGUUGAAAAACUCUGGACUAUAUGAACUAUCUCAAUUCUCUUUCAACACUAACAUUUAAAUGUGGUGUUUCUUGUUUUUUAAACACACAAAAUUUUAUUUCUGUUUUACACAAAGUCAGCUAUGGGUAUGGAUGAAUCUGCGGACAGUUUUCUUCCAUGUGUUGGCUCCAUAUUUCAGCUGCUUUGAUCUUUUUGACAUCUUAUCAAUGUGUUCUUCUAUGAUUUCCUUGGCAGAGAAAGAGAAAGCAGAGAGAAUCAUGUGCUGGAUCUUAAAUGCUUCUACGUGGAUGUAGUAAAUGUCUCUUCUACUUUUUUUAAAUAAGAAGUGUAUUAAAAUAUAAUCCAUGUAUCAUAUAAUUUACUCAUUUAAGGCAUAAAAUUCGGCUGGGUAUGGUGGCUCACACCUGUAAUCCCAGCACUUUGGGAGGUUGAGGUGGGGUGAAUCUCUUGAGCCCAGGAGUUUGAGACCAGACUGGGCAACAUGGCAAAACCCCAUCUCUACAAAAAAUACAAAAAUUAGCCAGGUGUGGUGGCACGCACCUGUAAUCCCAGCUAUUUGGGAGGUUGAGGUGGGAGUAUUGCUUGAGUUUUGAAGGCAGAGGUUGCAGUGAGCCAAGAUUGUGCCACUGCACUCCAGCCAGGGUGACAGAGUGAGACUGUCUCAAAAAAAAUUUUUCAGCUAAAAUAAAGUGUAAAACUCUGUAGUUUUUAGUGUAUCCACAAAAUGUGUGCAAUCGUCUCUACACUCAAUUUUAGAACAUUUGAAUCACCCCCAGAAGAAACACUGUACCUAUUAACAGCCAUUCCCAAUUUUCCCUCAACACCUCCACCUCAGCCCUAGGCAACCACUAACCUAUUUUCUAUCUCUAUAGGUUUACCUAUACUGGAUAUUACAUAUAAAUGGAAUCAUGUCCUUUGUAACUGUCUUCUUUCACUUUGCAUAAUGUUUUCAAGGUUCAUUCAUGUUGCAUCCUUCUCAAUAUUUCAUUUUUAUUGCUGAAUAAUAUUCCAUUGUAUGAAUAUAACACAUUUUAUUUAUCCAUUCAUCGCUUGAUGGAUAUAUGAGCCAUUUCUACUUUUUAGAUAUUCUGAAUAAUGCUGCUAUGAAUACUUAUAUGCAAGUUUUUACAUGGACGUAUGUCUUCAUUUCUCUUAGGUUAUAUAUCUAAGAAAGGAAUUACUGAAUCAUACGAUAACUUUAUGCUUAGACUUUUGAGAAACUGCCAGACUGCUCUCCAAAAUGACUGUGCCAUUUUACAUUCCCAAAAGUAAUGUAUGAAGUUUCUAAUUUUUCCACACCCUCACCAACACUUAUUAUCUGUGUUUUUGAUUCUUGCCAUCCUAGUGUGUGUGAAGUAGUUUCUCACUGUGAUUUGUAUUUGAAUCUUCUUGAAGGCUAAUGAUUUUGAGCAUCUUUUCAUGUGCUUAUCGUCUCUUCUUUAUAUAGAUGUCUAUUCAGGUCCUUGGCCCAUUUUUAAUUUGGGCUAUUUGUCUUUUCAUUACUGAGUUUUAAGAAUAAUUUUUGUUUAUUCUAGACACACAUCCCAUAUUAGAUAGGUGAUUUGCAACUAUUUCCUCCCAUUCUGUAGGUUUCUUGCUGGUGUCCUUUUAGGAAUAGAAGUUUUACGUUUUGAUGAAGUCAAGUGUGUAUGUUUUCUUUUGUUGCUUGUGUGUUUGAUCUCAUAUCAAAAAACCAUUGCACAAUCCAAGGCCACAAAGAGUUAUGUCUAUGUUUUCUAGAUUUUUAUCAUUUUAGUGCUUACAUUUAGGUCUUUGAUCUUUUUGUGUUAAUUUUUUAUAUUGGGUGUGAGGUAAAAAUCCAACUUCAUUCUUUUGCAUGUGAUAUCCAAUUAUCCAGAACCACUUGUUGAGAAGGCUAGUUCUUCCUCACUGGAUUAUCUUGGCACCCUUGUCAAAAAUAAGUUGACUGUAGAUGUGAAGGUGUAUGAGUUGCUAAAAUACCUCUUCUGUGAUAUUUAUAAUUUAUUUUCUAAAAGGAUAAGUUAUAGGUCACAUCUCAGAUUACAAUGAUUCAAGUCAAAAAGUUCAAAGUAGAAUUUACUUUCAAAAUUGUUUGUUCCCCCAGAGCUAGUUAAUGCCCCCAGAGCUAGUUAAUAAACUCUAUUUGCAGAUAAAAGCAUGCUUUCCCUUCAAAGGUAUUUCACCAAGACGGGAAACACAAAACUAAAUAAGCUGGGAAACUGAGGAUACACAGAGGGUCUCCUUAAUCUCUGGAUAUGUGGUCUAAUGUAUCCUUUUUGUGCUCAUUUUUUCCCUUUUAUCCAGAAAUACAACAUUACCUUUUUAUAAAAUUCCUGGAGAUUGAUCAUAUCUCUAGUGUUUGGGUCUAGAAUGUAUUUUUUGGCCAAAACAUCUCUUUACCCCACUUCCACAUGUGGAAAGAAAGAAAACAUGGUACUCUAAUCUCACAAGUGAGGCAUGGGGUUGUUUCCUGAAAUGAGGCAAGGACUUUGGACAAGAACAUGUUUGGACUUGAGAUGGUUUUUGUAAACCCAAAUGAUAUUAGUUCUAGUCUGUCUUUAUCGCUCACUGUAUUUUGUUUUCAUUCAUACUAAUGAAUAAUAGACUUGAUUGUGUUCCAUCAUUUAUGUCAUUAAUAUUUCCUUUAUGUUUGAGUGCUGUGCAGUUCUCCUUGAAACUUGUAUGGAGAUUGAACUUGAUAGUGAUUUAAAGUAAUUAAUUCAUAUGUCAGUUGUUAGCAAGGUCUAGUAAUUAAAAUCUACUUUAGAGUAAG
This 5110-nucleotide long non-coding RNA is filed under the name Homo sapiens (human). Its description in RNAcentral is "novel transcript". The record is from RNAcentral. Lineage: Eukaryota; Metazoa; Chordata; Mammalia; Primates; Hominidae.